Molecule: long non-coding RNA, 1611 nt
Organism: Mauremys reevesii (Reeves's turtle)
Lineage: Eukaryota; Metazoa; Chordata; Testudines; Geoemydidae
Exons: 3
Source: RefSeq, a predicted model, not a curated record
GCGCUUGCAGUGAAGUCUUUUGUUUUGGAUUUUUUUUUUUGCAUGAAAUAUCUACACACGUUAGAGAAGUCAAGUUCAAAGAAAAGCACAUUUCACUGGGAGCAGGAGGAGGCAAGGUUUUGGAUGGACCUUAGAUCCUGGGGGAGUUCAUUCUACCCUCUCAGACCAACUCCCAGGAAAGGAACACUUCCAUGAGGGAUCUCUGUACUGGAGUGACCUCUGCUGGCUUCCCCAAAUGAAAACACACAAGAGCCGGAGAAGCCAUGGAAGGAACUUGCAGUAAUGGAUCCUAGCAUCCAAAUGGAAUUUCUCUCUCUCUCCGCUGCAAUCAGUUUCUUCUCAUCACAGAGACACCUUUGUCUUAUGAUAAGAAGUGGAAUGGAGGAUGCACACCGGAGCAUGUUGCAGCAUUUAAGAAAUAAGGAGGAAGUUCACCCCCGUGCGGAGGGAGCUAGCACCAGUCCAAAGCACUACUGAAGACCCAAGGGCUUUAGUUAUUUCAAUUGCAUUUCUACUGCAGGAGCACCUUGCGAUCUGGGAAGCGUGAUGGCAUUUGAAGGACAUUUUCAUGACAUUAGGAAAAGCACACACCACUUUGGGACAAAGACCUGGUCAAAAAGAGGUCUCUACACCAAACUAAAGGUCAGAUUAUUAAUGUACUGAGUGUGCUACUGUACUGAGCAACUGACUUGGCCGAUGACAGUGGUUAACCAAAAGAGAUUGGAGGCUGCCUACUGCAGAUGACUGAGGAAGAUACUACCUAUUUCAGGGAAAGAAAAUAACAAAUGUGAGAGUCAGGGAGCUGAUAUCAUUUGAUAUCAUCAAGGGAAGAAGGCUCAGGUGACUGGAACAAGUACACCACAGGGAAGAUGUCUAAGCAAGCACUGAACUGGGUACCCAAUGGAGGAAAGAGAAAGGCAAAGACAGUGAGCGAGGGUAUUGAAUGUACUGGCAUCAUAUGGGAAUAAGUACCACAAUUAUCACGUGACUGUAACCAGUGGAGGAACUAGACAGCUGGAUAUGUCAGUGGUACAGGAGGACCAGAGCUAAGCACUUAGAUGCCUUAACUAAGUUGGGGAUCCCAUUGUACAGGGUAAAGGGUCAUCCCCUGCCCCAGACCGCUUACAGUCUAAACAGGAAGACAGAUCAGGUGGGUGUGAGAAGUGAGUGGGCAGGGUGAAGGAAAGGAUGAAGUAAUAGAACUGAAGGAUGUUUCAGUAGAGACUAGACACUAAUAAGUAUCACACAGCUAUUGCACGGGCCCUCUGCACAGGGGAGAAUGGUACCCAAAAUAACUUAAAAAUCAAUUCAAAAAAUUCAGGUGGAAAAAUCACUUGGGUAUGGGGGUUUUGUUUGUUUGUUUGUUUUGCCUCUGAAGAAGGAUAAAAGAUGUGAUUUCAUUUGUUCUAUUUUAUACACCAUGGAAUUUCUCUUCUUUCCUAAAUCAUCCCAUGUUAAACCAGCAAAUGCUAUACGGCUCUUGGGUAUUUCAGCUGGGCCAAAUUUGUCCUCUGCAAGGGCAGAAGUUUGGGAUCAGACCUGUCUUUUUCUUGUCUAUUUGUACAACACCUCGUACAAUGGGGAUCCGGUCCAUGACUGAAGCUCCUAGAU